RNAcentral lists this ribosomal RNA (896 nucleotides) under Streptomyces sp. Its description in RNAcentral is "bacterial SSU rRNA". It matches the Rfam family "Bacterial small subunit ribosomal RNA", at positions 80 to 989 of the family's 1533-position model. The record is from RNAcentral. Lineage: Bacteria; Bacillati; Actinomycetota; Actinomycetes; Kitasatosporales; Streptomycetaceae.
CUUCGGUGGGGAUUAGUGGCGAACGGGUGAGUAACACGUGGGCAAUCUGCCCUUCACUCUGGGACAAGCCCUGGAAACGGGGUCUAAUACCGGAUAACACUCUCGCAGGCAUCUGUGAGGGUUAAAAGCUCCGGCGGUGAAGGAUGAGCCCGCGGCCUAUCAGCUUGUUGGUGAGGUAGUGGCUCACCAAGGCGACGACGGGUAGCCGGCCUGAGAGGGCGACCGGCCACACUGGGACUGAGACACGGCCCAGACUCCUACGGGAGGCAGCAGUGGGGAAUAUUGCACAAUGGGCGAAAGCCUGAUGCAGCGACGCCGCGUGAGGGAUGACGGCCUUCGGGUUGUAAACCUCUUUCAGCAGGGAAGAAGCGAAAGUGACGGUACCUGCAGAAGAAGCGCCGGCUAACUACGUGCCAGCAGCCGCGGUAAUACGUAGGGCGCAAGCGUUGUCCGGAAUUAUUGGGCGUAAAGAGCUCGUAGGCGGCUUGUCACGUCGAUUGUGAAAGCCCGGGGCUUAACUCCGGGUCUGCAGUCGAUACGGGCUAGCUAGAGUGUGGUAGGGGAGAUCGGAAUUCCUGGUGUAGCGGUGAAAUGCGCAGAUAUCAGGAGGAACACCGGUGGCGAAGGCGGAUCUCUGGGCCAUUACUGACGCUGAGGAGCGAAAGCGUGGGGAGCGAACAGGAUUAGAUACCCUGGUAGUCCACGCCGUAAACGGUGGGAACUAGGUGUUGGCGACAUUCCACGUCGUCGGUGCCGCAGCUAACGCAUUAAGUUCCCCGCCUGGGGAGUACGGCCGCAAGGCUAAAACUCAAGGAAUUGACGGGGGCCCGCACAAGCGGCGGAGCAUGUGGCUUAAUUCGACGCAACGCGAAGAACCUUACCAAGGCUUGACAUAC